Molecule: transfer RNA, 73 nt
Filed under: Mus musculus (house mouse)
Lineage: Eukaryota; Metazoa; Chordata; Mammalia; Rodentia; Muridae
Description: tRNA-Asn
Source: RNAcentral
GGAGAGAUGGCUCAGUGGUUAAGAGCACUGACUGUUCUUCCAGAAGUCCUGAGUUCAAUUCCCAGCAACCACA